AUUGAACGCUGGCGGCAGGCCUAACACAUGCAAGUCGAACGAGUGGCGGACGGGUGAGUAAUGUCUGGGAAACUGCCCGAUGGAGGGGGAUAACUACUGGAAAAGGUAGCUAAUACCGCAUACCAUCGGAUGUGCCCAGAUGGGAUUAGCUUGUGGGUGAGGUAACGGCUCACAUAGGAGACGAUCCCUAGCUGGUCUGAGAGGAUGACCAGCCACACUGGACCGGAGACACGGUCCUGACGCCUACGGGGGGCAGCAGUGGGGAAGAUUGCAAAAUGGGCGCAAGGCUGAUGCAGCCAGGCCGCGGGUAUGAAGAAGGCCUUCGGGUUGUAAAGUACUUUCAGCGGGGAGGCGUUACCCGCAGAAGAAGCACCGGCUAACUCCGUGCCAGCAGCCGCGGUAAUGC
RNAcentral lists this ribosomal RNA (406 nucleotides) under uncultured bacterium. RNAcentral's name for it is "partial 16S ribosomal RNA". It matches the Rfam family "Bacterial small subunit ribosomal RNA", at positions 29 to 526 of the family's 1533-position model. The record is from RNAcentral.